Molecule: ribosomal RNA, 500 nt
Filed under: uncultured bacterium
Lineage: Bacteria
Description: partial 16S ribosomal RNA
Rfam family: Bacterial small subunit ribosomal RNA
Source: RNAcentral
GACGAACGCUGGCGGCGUGCCUAAUACAUGCAAGUCGAGCGAGACUCUUCGGAGUCUAGCGGCGGACGGGUGAGUAACACGUGGGCAACCUGCCUGUAAGACUGGGAUAACACCGGGAAACCGGUGCUAAUACCGGAUAAUCCUUUUCCUCUCAUGAGGGAAAGCUGAAAGACGGUUUCGGCUGUCACUUACAGAUGGGCCCGCGGCGCAUUAGCUAGUUGGUGAGGUAACGGCUCACCAAGGAGACGAUGCGUAGCCGACCUGAGAGGGUGAUCGGCCACACUGGGACUGAGACACGGCCCAGACUCCUACGGGAGGCAGCAGUAGGGAAUCUUCCACAAUGGACGAAAGUCUGAUGGAGCAACGCCGCGUGAGCGAUGAAGGCCUUCGGGUCGUAAAGCUCUGUUGUUAGGGAAGAACAAGUACCGGAGUAACUGCCGGUACCUUGACGGUACCUAACCAGAAAGCCACGGCUAACUACGUGCCAGCAGCCGCGGUAA